GUCGUCUGCGCCGAAUGCCGCGCCCGGGGCCGCUGGUGGCCUCGAGGAUGACGCCCAGGCUCAAGGCAUACGUGGGCGUGCCGCCACCGUAUGACAGGACCAAGCUCAUGGUCAUCCCUGACGCACUCAAGGUUCUAAGGCUGCAACCUGGGCACAAGAACUGCCUCCUCAGCUAGCUCUCCAAGGAGGCCGGAUGGAACUACGCCGACACCAUCAGGAUGUUCGGAAUGGUGGAGAAGGAGAUGGAGUACCAGGUCG
Long non-coding RNA from Triticum dicoccoides, 258 nucleotides. RefSeq lists it as uncharacterized. Lineage: Eukaryota; Viridiplantae; Streptophyta; Magnoliopsida; Poales; Poaceae. The record is from RefSeq and is a predicted model, not a curated record. The transcript has 3 exons.